UAGAGUUUGAUCAUGGCUCAGAUUGAACGCUGGCGGCAUGCCUUACACAUGCAAGUCGAACGGUAACAGGUUAAGCUGACGAGUGGCGAACGGGUGAGUAAUAUAUCGGAACGUGCCCAGUCGUGGGGGAUAACUGCUCGAAAGAGCAGCUAAUACCGCAUACGACCUGAGGGUGAAAGCGGGGGAUCGCAAGACCUCGCGCGAUUGGAGCGGCCGAUAUCAGAUUAGGUAGUUGGUGGGGUAAAGGCCCACCAAGCCAACGAUCUGUAGCUGGUCUGAGAGGACGACCAGCCACACUGGGACUGAGACACGGCCCAGACUCCUACGGGAGGCAGCAGUGGGGAAUUUUGGACAAUGGGCGCAAGCCUGAUCCAGCCAUGCCGCGCGCGGGAAGAAGGCCUUCGAGUUGUAAACCGCUUUUGUCAGGGAAGAAAAGGUUCUGGUUAAUACCUGGGACUCAUGACGGUACCUGAAGAAUAAGCACCGGCUAACUACGUGCCAGCAGCCGCGGUAAU
This 515-nucleotide ribosomal RNA is filed under the name uncultured Pseudomonas sp. RNAcentral's name for it is "bacterial SSU rRNA". It matches the Rfam family "Bacterial small subunit ribosomal RNA", at positions 1 to 524 of the family's 1533-position model. Lineage: Bacteria; Pseudomonadati; Pseudomonadota; Gammaproteobacteria; Pseudomonadales; Pseudomonadaceae. The record is from RNAcentral.